AGUGUAGGCGGCUACGUAAGUCGGAUGUGAAAGCCCUGGGCUCAACCUGGGAAUUGCAUUCGAUACUGCGUAGCUAGAGUUUGAUAGAGGUAAGUGGAAUUCCGGGUGUAGCGGUGAAAUGCGUAGAUAUCCGGAGGAACAUCAGUGGCGAAGGCGGCUUACUGGACCAAAACUGACGCUGAGGCUCGAAAGCGUGGGGAGCAAACAGGAUUAGAUACCCUGGUAGUCC
Molecule: ribosomal RNA, 229 nt
Filed under: uncultured bacterium
Lineage: Bacteria
Description: partial 16S ribosomal RNA
Rfam family: Bacterial small subunit ribosomal RNA
Source: RNAcentral